RNAcentral lists this ribosomal RNA (300 nucleotides) under uncultured Lactobacillus sp. RNAcentral's name for it is "bacterial SSU rRNA". It matches the Rfam family "Bacterial small subunit ribosomal RNA", at positions 496 to 795 of the family's 1533-position model. Lineage: Bacteria; Bacillati; Bacillota; Bacilli; Lactobacillales; Lactobacillaceae. The record is from RNAcentral.
GUAAAGUAGGGGCAGGCGGCCGGGGGAAUAGGUAGGGGGGAGGCGUUAUCCGGAGUUAUUGGGCGUAAAGGGGGCGUAGGCGGUGAUUGAAGGUGGAAGUGAAAGCCCACGGCUGAACCGGGGGAGGUCAUUGGAAACUGGUGCACUUGAGUGCAGAAGAGGAAAGUGGAAGUCCAUGUGUAGCGGUGAAAUGCGUAGAUAUAGGGAGGAACACCAGUGGCGAAGGCGACGUUCUGGUCUGUAACUGACGCUGAGGCUCGAAAGCGUGGGGAGCAAACAGGAUUAGAUACCCCGGUAGUC